Molecule: microRNA precursor, 90 nt
Filed under: Marmota monax (woodchuck)
Lineage: Eukaryota; Metazoa; Chordata; Mammalia; Rodentia; Sciuridae
Source: RNAcentral
AAUAGAAUAGCUAGGUUAUAUGAUUUACUUUUAAGAACUGCCAAACUCUUCUCCAAAAUAGUUGUACCAGUUUACAAUCCCACCAGCAGU